Xylaria sp. CBS 124048 is the source of this 92-nucleotide non-coding RNA. The record is from the annotation of a GenBank genome assembly. NCBI's taxonomy places the organism in Eukaryota, Fungi, Ascomycota, Sordariomycetes, Xylariales, Xylariaceae.
UCUCGAUUGGUCUAGUGGCUAGGAUACCUGCUUGUCAUUCAUUUCAAUGAACAAGCCCGCAGGUGGCCGGGGUUCGAUUCCCCGAUCGAGAG